AACAAUGAAUCCAUCCAACAUGCAUUUGGGUGGAUUCCACCUCCGUGAUGGCAAGCAGACUCUAUGGGCCCCCACAACGUAUGUGCAGAGUAGCAAAUAUGGAUGCAAUCUACAGGCACCAGACUGUCCAGGAAAGCCAGGCAUUCAUUCCAACUUCUACUGCGCACCUACCAGGAGCAGGGAAAGAAACAAAGAAGAAAGCAAAGACCCUACUUCAGAGGAGGCAACAGGCUAAUAAGAUCAACAAAACGAACAAAAUGCAAAGUGUAAAAUACCUCCGGGGAAGCGUCUAUAAAGUGCCACAGAGAGAAGGGUUAGCCUUCAGUGUGUAAAUAAAACACACACUGCUUUUUAACGACACAGUUCACGGACACAUUCAGAAGGAGGGAAGGAAGGAGCAAGGGAGAAGAGGGCCAGGGAAGGCCACUGUGUCGCAGAUCCAUUUCCAAAGAUCCAUGCCAAGGACUCUUCCUCUGGGGAUGCCUGAACUGACCGUGUUCCGGACUCAACACUCCUGCCUCCCACAGCCAUCUGAAGCAGGGAGAUGGCGCUUCCCAAAGUCAUCAUCCACAGAGCCAAGUCACAACCCUUCAUCCAAAGAGGAUCCCCGCUACCACCAGUGUGUGAAAGCCUCUGACAAUGAGUUUCCCCAAAGAGGACAAACUGAAUCUUCUCCUAAUGAAUGUGAG
Long non-coding RNA from Talpa occidentalis (Iberian mole), 689 nucleotides. RefSeq lists it as uncharacterized. The record is from RefSeq and is a predicted model, not a curated record. The transcript has 3 exons. NCBI's taxonomy places the organism in Eukaryota, Metazoa, Chordata, Mammalia, Eulipotyphla, Talpidae.